GAUGAACGCUGGCGGCGUGCCUAAUACAUGCAAGUCGAGCGAACAGACGAUGAGCUUGCUCCUCUGACGUUAGCGGCGGACGGGUGAGUAACACGUGGAUAACCUACCUAUAAGACUGGGAUAACUUCGGGAAACCGGAGCUAAUACCGGAUAAUAUAUUGAACCGCAUGGUUCAAUAGUGAAAUACGGUUUUGCGGUCACUUAUAGAUGGAUCCGCGCCGCAUUAGCUAGUUGGUAAGGUAACGGCUUACCAAGGCAACGAGGCGUAGCCGAACUGAGAGGGUGAUCGGCCACACUGGAACUGGGACGCGGUCCAGACUCCUACGGGAGGCAGCAGUAGGGAAUCUUCCGCAAUGGGCGAAAGCUUGACGGAGCAACGCCGCGUGAGUGAUGAAGGUCUUCGGAUCGUAAAACUCUGUUAUUAGGGAAGAACAAAUGUGUAAGUAACUAUGCACGUCUUGACGGUACCUAAUCAGAAAGCCACGGCUAACUACGUG
This 497-nucleotide ribosomal RNA is filed under the name uncultured bacterium. RNAcentral's name for it is "partial 16S ribosomal RNA". It matches the Rfam family "Bacterial small subunit ribosomal RNA", at positions 28 to 507 of the family's 1533-position model. The record is from RNAcentral.